GAAUUGCAUAAUAGAGAUACAAGCAAGAAUCAUUAAGUUCUAUGAAAAACAUAAGCAUUGACGAGGCACUCAUUACUAUGAAUUGCAUGAAACUUAUGCCAAGAAUUUACUUAACGUGAUUGUGACUAGCAACCUUCACUACUUGUGAAUAUAAGUUCAUAACGAUUAUGUGAAACUCCCUUAUAUUCUAGCGUUAAAUUCAUGCAUGAAAAUUAAGCGUGCACUCUCAACCAACAUACACAAAUCAUUUUUUAUACGAUCGGAUAAGUAAAUUGAAUUCACAAAUUAUGAAUCACAACUGGAUGUAAUCAAAUCAUAUUGCAAGUAUGAACAUAGUUUCGAAUCACCCCCUAACUAAGAGGGGUUUAGUUCCUCAUACUCACAAAGCAAAGAUACAUAAAAUUAGACAUUAAAAUCAAAGGAAAGAAAACACCUAAAGUGCUCCAACUUGGAUAGCAAGUGCAUCAAUGGAUCUCCCUUCCUCCUUGUUGCGGCAUGAAG
RNAcentral lists this long non-coding RNA (501 nucleotides) under Malus domestica (apple). RNAcentral's name for it is "long non-coding RNA (MDOM_LNC015283)". The record is from RNAcentral. Lineage: Eukaryota; Viridiplantae; Streptophyta; Magnoliopsida; Rosales; Rosaceae.